AUUUAUAUAGUUUACUAAAAAUUUAAUACUGAAAAUAUUAAGAUAAUAUAUAUAUUUAUAUUUUUAAAUA
This 70-nucleotide transfer RNA is filed under the name Pelecinus polyturator. Its description in RNAcentral is "tRNA-Phe". The record is from RNAcentral. Lineage: Eukaryota; Metazoa; Arthropoda; Insecta; Hymenoptera; Pelecinidae.